UACGUAGGGUGCAAGCGUUUGUCCGGAAUUUUAUUUGGGCGUAAAGAGCUCGUAGGCGGUUUUGUCGCGUUCUGCUGUGAAAACUCGGGGCUUAACUCCGGGCCUGCAGUGGGUACGGGCAGACUAGAGUGCGGUAGGGGGAGACUGGAAUUCCUGGUGUAGCGGUGAAAUGCGCAGAUAUCAGGAGGAACACCGGUGGCGAAGGCGGGGUCUCUGGGCCGUAACUGACGCUGAGGAGCGAAAAGCGUGGGGGAGCGAACAGGG
This 264-nucleotide ribosomal RNA is filed under the name uncultured bacterium. RNAcentral describes it as "partial 16S ribosomal RNA". It matches the Rfam family "Bacterial small subunit ribosomal RNA", at positions 524 to 777 of the family's 1533-position model. The record is from RNAcentral.